AAAUACUUGAGAAUUCAGUGUUGCCACAUUUAGACCACAUUGCGAAAGAUCGGGAUAUUUUUGUGCAGAUCCGAGGUGUCCAGCUUCUGGUCGAUGUUAUUGCAUCCUCUGAUUCACCGAAAGUUUGCGAUGUUUUGCAUACAAUCGAGAAGAUUGCCACUGUCCAGUAGACCUCUCAAGCGAUACGUCAAGCCGUCGUGUAAAGAACAUGUAAGAAGAUUAGUGGUUAUAAAUUACAUUGGAGUGAACGAAAGGUUCCAGUGACGUUAGAGAUCUCAGAUUAUCCUAAAGGAUUUGUUGUUGUCUGUGGUGGUUUUAGCACAAUGCAUCUUUUCACAUCAGAGAGGAAUUGCUGAAAAAGAUGAUGGAAUCUUCUUUCAAUAAUGUUGGUGUUACGAUAAAGCAGAAGAAAAGUUCCAUGAAAGUGGAGUCGUUUUUUAAAACAAAUUUGGAAAAUACAGUUGAAUGAUAUAUUAUUAAGACAGUAUUUCGUUUGUCCUGUGUAAAGAAUGUGGGAUAUGACAGUAAAUGACAAUUUUUUUGUUUCAGUGAUGACGAACAUAUCACAUCAAUGUCAGAAUUCAGCGUCUAUAAAGAAACUCCUCGGAGUAAAGUGAGUUAUGUUGUUA
Dendronephthya gigantea is the source of this 629-nucleotide long non-coding RNA. RefSeq lists it as uncharacterized. Lineage: Eukaryota; Metazoa; Cnidaria; Anthozoa; Malacalcyonacea; Nephtheidae. The record is from RefSeq and is a predicted model, not a curated record. The transcript is spliced from 6 exons.